GGUUACCUUGAAGAUAUUCCUGCAAAGCAGUAGAAAACCCAGUCACAGGGAAUAUAUACACAUGUAGAGGGGAGAUAAUAGCUCCAUAUUCGCAAUCACAGCAAUGAAACUAGGCAUGAUUAUUGCCACUAAAGGUAACCUGAAAGAGUUUCACUAUUGGUACAACAUGCAAUCCUCAUCUAUAUGACAUUUGAGAACUUUGGCAUCUAUGGUAUUCACCUAAAGGUACAACUCAACUCAAUUCAACUCAAUUAAAUCUUUAUCUCAAAAAUUUGG
This 276-nucleotide unclassified non-coding RNA is filed under the name Hevea brasiliensis (rubber tree). The record is from RNAcentral. Lineage: Eukaryota; Viridiplantae; Streptophyta; Magnoliopsida; Malpighiales; Euphorbiaceae.